Molecule: long non-coding RNA, 488 nt
Organism: Neltuma alba
Lineage: Eukaryota; Viridiplantae; Streptophyta; Magnoliopsida; Fabales; Fabaceae
Exons: 2
Source: RefSeq, a predicted model, not a curated record
GUCAGCGCCAGCGGAUCCUUUGUCGGGCGUCGACUAACAAUUAGCAUUCCACACUUGGUAGAGCUCGCCGACGGACGCCGUCCACUGUUACCAACCUUGAGUGGUCGUUCUCCUGCAAGUACUGAAGAAGUGGCUUCGAGGAGUUGGCUGAAUCAAUUGGUUUUCCAAGGCAUCUUUGUCAAGAUAUGUGCGGCAAAAAUUAUAAGGGUAUUAUAUCAACUAUGCAACAAAUAGGUCCGCCUAUGUGUGGGGGUAUCAUUUUCUCUAACUGAAUAUAGAAGUGCGUAAACUUAGUUUUUUUCAACGAACUCCGAAGAUCAUAUUUUUACAGCACACAUCACAUAUUUCAUUGAUUUUCCUCUGUUCUUCGUGUUCUGGCAGAUAAUUUAUUUUUUGGGACUUUGCAGAACAAUUUGAGCUUGAUAUUACGUCAUCAGUGAAGCCCAACAGUAUUAGGUCCAGGUCUUCUGAAGAUACUAUAACAUUAG